AGAGCGAACGCUGGCGGCAGGCCUAACACAUGCAAGUCGAGCGCCCCGCAAGGGGAGCGGCAGACGGGAGAGUAACACGUGGGAACGUACCCUUUGGUUCGGAACAACCCAGGGAAACUUGGGCUAAUACCGAAUAAGCCCUUACGGGGAAAGAUUUAUCGCCAAAGGAUCGGCCCGCGUCUGAUUAGCUAGUUGGUGAGGUAACGGCUCACCAAGGCGACGAUCAGUAGCUGGUCUGAGAGGAUGAUCAGCCUCACUGGGACUGAGACACGGCCCAGACUCCUACGGGAGGCAGCAGUGGGGAAUAUUGGACAAUGGGCGCAAGCCUGAUCCAGCCAUGCCGCGUGGGUGAUGAAGGCCCUAGGGUUGUAAAGCCCUUUCGGCGGGGAAGAUAAUGACGGUACCCGCAGAAGAAGCCCCGGCUAACUUCGCGCCAGCAGCCGC
RNAcentral lists this ribosomal RNA (444 nucleotides) under uncultured bacterium. Its description in RNAcentral is "SSU rRNA". It matches the Rfam family "Bacterial small subunit ribosomal RNA", at positions 26 to 518 of the family's 1533-position model. The record is from RNAcentral.